This 105-nucleotide microRNA precursor is filed under the name Canis lupus familiaris (dog). Its description in RNAcentral is "mir-8834 microRNA precursor family". It matches the Rfam family "mir-8834 microRNA precursor family". The record is from Rfam by way of RNAcentral. Lineage: Eukaryota; Metazoa; Chordata; Mammalia; Carnivora; Canidae. RNAcentral also lists the same sequence under 1 other name.
AGGAGGAACAACCCCAGUGGCUGCAGCAGCUCUGGAGCCCUGGAGUCAGCCCCCAUAGUAACUCCAGAGCUCUCCGUCUGCAGGGCCUGGAGGCUCCGGGGCAGG